This 490-nucleotide long non-coding RNA is filed under the name Ananas comosus (pineapple). RNAcentral's name for it is "long non-coding RNA (ACOM_LNC007123)". The record is from RNAcentral. Lineage: Eukaryota; Viridiplantae; Streptophyta; Magnoliopsida; Poales; Bromeliaceae.
UACUUAAUAAACAGAAAAAUAUCUUAACUUUCCAGUUUGGACCAUUUUUGAUCACCGAAAGCUCUACCGAACUAAAAUCUCUAGCCGAUAGCACUCAGAUUUUAUUUUCUACUUUCCGGGUGUCAAAAUGACAUGAAACUUUAAAUCUAGCAUCAUAAAAAUAAUUCUGACAUAUUUCCAAGUUUUCAUAAUUUUCUGACACUGCGAAUUUUCUUCUAAGAUAUCAGCCUCGUUUCUCACAGAAAAUUCUAAUUCUUCUGUUUCUACUCCAAUUUCAGCACAAGUCAUUUCCGACUCAUACUUUACUUCUUUAAGUCAAAUAAAAAUAGUAUAUCAUACUAUUUUUAUUUACUUUUACUUUUAUAUUAAAAUUCCGGCACAUCAUAUUCCACCGUAACUUCAUAACCUCAGAAGUUCGGCACUUUACAUCCUCCCCUCCUUAAAAAGAGUUUCGUUCUCGAAACUCAAAUCACAUUUCAACUCGACUUAU